UUUCCUCAACUUGUUAAUUGAAAACGAUUUAGAAAAAAGGUUGACAGAAACUCAUGUUCAUCCACUCAUCGAUGGUUUAUUAAAUAUGCAUUGGAAUAUGAACCAGUGUAUGAACGCUUAUAGCUUCUUAUAACACGUCGUAGCUCCUUAAAACACGUCAUAGCUCCUUAUAACACGUUAUAACACGUCAUAGCUCCUUAUAACACGUUAUAACACGUCAUAGCUCCUUAUAACACGUUAUAACACGUCAUAGCUCCUUAUAACACGUUAUAACACGUCAUAGUUCCUUAUAACACGUUAUAACACGUCAUAGCUCCUUAUAACACGUUAUAACACGUCAUAGCUCCUUAUAACACGUUAUAACACAUCAUAGCUCCUUAUAACACGUCAUAGCUCCUUAUAACACGUUAUAACACAUCAUAGCUCCUUAUAACAUGUUAUAACACAUCAUAGCUCCUUAUAACACAUCAUAGCUUCUUAUAACAUGUUAUAACACAUCAUAGCUCCUUAAAACACGUUAUAACACAUCAUAGCUCCUUAAAACACGUUAUAACACAUCAUAGCUUCUUAUAACACGUCGUAGCUCCUUAAAACACGUUAUAACACCUCAUAGCUUCUUAUAACACGUUAUAACACAUCAUAGCUUCUUAUAACACAUCAUAGCUCCUUAUAACACGUCAUAGCUCCUUAUAACACGUCAUAGCUCCUUAUAACACGUUAUAACGCAUCAUAGCUUCUUAUAACACGUUAUAACACAUCAUAGCUUCUUAUAACACAUCAUAGCUUCUUAUAACACAUCAUAGCUCCUUAUAACACAUCGUAGCUUCUUAAAACACGUCAUGUGUUAUAACCUAUCAUAGCUUAACACGUCAUAGCUCCUUAUAACACGUCAUAGCUUCUUAUAACACGUCAUAGCUCCUUAUAACACGUCAUAGCUUCUUAUAACACGUUAUAACACGUCAUAGCUUCUUAUAACACCUCAUAGCUUCUUAUAACACGUUAUAACACAUCAUAGCUUCUUAUAACACAUCAUAGCUCCUUAUAACACGUCAUAGCUCCUUAUAACACGUUAUAACACACCACAGCUUCUUAUAACACGUUAUAACACAUCAUAGCUUCUUAUAACACAUCAUAGCUUCUUAUAACACAUCAUAGCUCCUUAUAACACAUCAUAGCUUCUUAUAACACAGGUUAUAACACAUCAUAGCUCCUUAUAACACAUCGUAGCUUCUUAAAACACGUCAUGUGUUAUAACCUAUCAUAGCUUAACACGUCAUAGCUUCUUAUAACACGUCAUAGCUCCUUAUAACACAUCAUAGCUCCUUAUAACACGUCAUAGCUUCUCAUUAUAACACAUCAUAGCUCCUUAUAACACAUCAUAGCUUCUCCUUAUAACACGUCAUAGCUUCUCAUUAUAACACAUCAUAGCUCCUUAUAACACGCCAUAGCUCCUAAUAACACAUCAUAGCUUCUCCUUAUAACACGUCAUAGCUUCUCAUUAUAACACAUCAUAGCUUCUCCUUAUAACACAUCAUAGCUUCUCCUUAUAACACAUCAUAGCUUCUCCUUAUAACACAUCAUAGCUCCUCCUAAUAACACAUCAUAGCUUCUCCUUAUAACACGUCAUAGCUCCUAAUAACACAUCAUAGCUUCUCCUUAUAACACGUCAUAGCUUAUAACACGUCAUAGCUUCUCCUUAUAACACAUCAUAGCUUCUCCUUAUAACACAUCAUAGCUUCUCCUUAUAACACAUCAUAGCUCCUCCUUAUAACACAUCAUAGCUUGUCCUUAUAACACAUCAUAGCUUCUCCUUAUAACACAUCAUAGCUUCUCCUUAUAACACGUCAUAGCUCCUUAUAUCACGUCAUGAUGAUGAAGAGGAUGUGAAGGCUGGUGCUGGGGGGGAUGUCUUAAUGAUGAUGAUGAUGUGAAGGCUGGUGCUGGGGGGGUGUCUUAAUGAUGAUGAUGAAGAGGAUGUGAAAGCUGGUGCUGGGUGGGGGAUGUCUUAAUGAUGAUGAUGAAGAGGAUGUGAAGGCUGGUGCUGGGGGGAUGUCUUGAUGAUGAUGAUGAUGAUGAAGAGGAUGCUGGGGGGAUGUCUUAAUGAUGAUGAUGAAGAGGAUGUGAAGGCUGGUGCUGGGGGGAUGUCUUCAUGAUGAUGAUGAUGAUGAUGAUGAGGCUGG
Long non-coding RNA from Oncorhynchus tshawytscha (Chinook salmon), 2180 nucleotides. The record is from Ensembl. NCBI's taxonomy places the organism in Eukaryota, Metazoa, Chordata, Actinopteri, Salmoniformes, Salmonidae.